AGUGAACGCUGGCGGUAGGCCUAACACAUGCAAGUCGAACGGCAGCACAGGAGAGCUUGCUCUCUGGGUGGCGAGUGGCGGACGGGUGAGGAAUACAUCGGAAUCUACUCUGUCGUGGGGGAUAACGUAGGGAAACUUACGCUAAUACCGCAUACGACCUACGGGUGAAAGAAGGGGACCUUCGGGCCUUGCGCGAUUGACUGAGCCGAUGUCGGAUUAGCUAUGUGGCGGGGUAAAGGCCCACCAAGGCGACGAUCCGUAGCUGGUCUGAGAGAAUGAUCAGCCACACUGGAACUGAGACACGGGCCCGACUCCUACGGGAGGCAGCAGUGGGGAAUAUUGGACAAUGGGCGCAAGCCUGAUCCAGCCAUACCGCGUGGGUGAAGAAGGCCUUCGGGUUGUAAAGCCCUUUUGUUGGGAAAGAAAUCCAGCUGGCUAAUACCCGGUUGGGAUGACGGUACCCAAAGAAUAAGCACCGGCUAACUUCGUGCCAGCAGCCGCCGUAA
RNAcentral lists this ribosomal RNA (506 nucleotides) under uncultured bacterium. RNAcentral describes it as "partial 16S ribosomal RNA". It matches the Rfam family "Bacterial small subunit ribosomal RNA", at positions 29 to 523 of the family's 1533-position model. The record is from RNAcentral.